UAGGGAAUCUUCGGCAAUGGACGAAAGUCUGACCGAGCAACGCCGCGUGAGUGAAGAAGGUUUUCGGAUCGUAAAACUCUGUUGUUAGAGAAGAACAAGGACGUUAGUAACUGAACGUCCCCUGACGGUAUCUAACCAGAAAGCCACGGCUAACUACGUGCCAGCAGCCGCGGUAAUACGUAGGUGGCAAGCGUUGUCCGGAUUUAUUGGGCGUAAAGCGAGCGCAGGCGGUUUCUUAAGUCUGAUGUGAAAGCCCCCGGCUCAACCGGGGAGGGUCAUUGGAAACUGGGAGACUUGAGUGCAGAAGAGGAGAGUGGAAUUCCAUGUGUAGCGGUGAAAUGCGUAGAUAUAUGGGGGAACACCAGUGGCGAAGGCGGCUCUCUGGUCUGAAACUGACGCUGAGGCUCGAAAGCGUGGGGAGCAAACAGG
This 429-nucleotide ribosomal RNA is filed under the name Gemmatimonadota bacterium. Its description in RNAcentral is "Gemmatimonadetes bacterium partial 16S ribosomal RNA". It matches the Rfam family "Bacterial small subunit ribosomal RNA", at positions 355 to 776 of the family's 1533-position model. The record is from RNAcentral. Lineage: Bacteria; Pseudomonadati; Gemmatimonadota.